This 848-nucleotide ribosomal RNA is filed under the name uncultured Actinomycetes bacterium. Its description in RNAcentral is "bacterial SSU rRNA". It matches the Rfam family "Bacterial small subunit ribosomal RNA", at positions 56 to 918 of the family's 1533-position model. The record is from RNAcentral. Lineage: Bacteria; Bacillati; Actinomycetota; Actinomycetes.
UGCGGGGGGAGUCGGAUUCGGUCGGACGCGGUGGGGAGGGGAGAAUGGGUGAUUAGGGGUGGGUGCUCUGCCUUGAGCUUCAUUAAUAGGCCGGGGAAACUGGGUCUAAUACCGGAUAUGACCUCGGAAUGCAUGUUCUGGGGUGGAAAGAUUUAUCGGUGCGAGAUGGGCCCGCGGCCUAUCAGCUUGUUGGUGAGGUAACGGCUCACCAAGGCGACGACGGGUAGCCGACCUGAGAGGGUGACCGGCCACACUGGGACUGAGACACGGCCCAGACUCCUACGGGAGGCAGCAGUGGGGAAUAUUGCACAAUGGGCGCAAGCCUGAUGCAGCGACGCCGCGUGCGGGAUGACGGCCUUCGGGUUGUAAACCGCUUUUGACAGGGACGAAGCGCAAGUGACUGUACCUGUAGAAUAAGGACCGGCCAACUACGUGCCAGCAGCCGCGGUAAUACGUAGGGUCCGAGCGUUGUCCGGAAUUACUGGGCGUAAAGAGCUUGUAGGCGGUCCGUCGCGUCGUUUGUGAAAACUUGGGGCUCAAUCUUAAGCUUGCAGGCGAUACGGGCGGACUAGAGUACUUCAGGGGAGACUGGAAUUCCUGGUGUAGCGGUGAAAUGCGCAGAUAUCAGGAGGAACACCGGUGGCGAAGGCGGGUCUCUGGGAAGUAACUGACGCUGAGAAGCGAAAGCAUGGGUAGCAAACAGGAUUAGAUACCCUGGUAGUCCAUGCCGUAAACGGUGGGUACUAGGUGUGGGGCUCCUUCCACGGACUCCGUGCCGUAGCUAACGUAUUAAGUACCCCGCCUGGGGAGUACGGCCGCAAGGCUAAAACUCAAAUGAAUUGACGGGG